UCGAAGGCUUUGAACAGUUUCGGCCGGCAGCCGCAGCGACGACAGUGGCAGCCGGUUCGCG
This 61-nucleotide small RNA is filed under the name Sinorhizobium meliloti 2011. Its description in RNAcentral is "putative ncRNA". Lineage: Bacteria; Pseudomonadati; Pseudomonadota; Alphaproteobacteria; Hyphomicrobiales; Rhizobiaceae. The record is from RNAcentral.